This 95-nucleotide non-coding RNA is filed under the name Jiangella alkaliphila. RNAcentral describes it as "TPP sequence". It matches the Rfam family "TPP riboswitch aptamer (THI element)". Rfam says of the family: Vitamin B(1) in its active form thiamin pyrophosphate (TPP) is an essential coenzyme that is synthesised by coupling of pyrimidine and thiazole moieties in bacteria. The previously detected thiamin-regulatory element, thi box was extended, resulting in a new, highly conserved RNA secondary structure, the THI element, which is widely distributed in eubacteria and also occurs in some archaea. The record is from RNAcentral. Lineage: Bacteria; Bacillati; Actinomycetota; Actinomycetes; Jiangellales; Jiangellaceae.
ACCGAUCGGCCGGGGUGCCCCGCGAGGGGCUGAGAUCACACCCGCCGAACCUGAUCCGGGUCAUGCCGGCGCAGGGAGACCGACGGAGGAGCUGA